Molecule: ribosomal RNA, 468 nt
Filed under: uncultured bacterium
Lineage: Bacteria
Description: partial 16S ribosomal RNA
Rfam family: Bacterial small subunit ribosomal RNA
Source: RNAcentral
GACGAACGCUGGCGGCGUGCUUAACACAUGCAAGUCGAACGGAAAGACCCUGCUCUUGUGGGGUGCUCGAGUGGCGAACGGGUGAGUAUCACGUGAGUAACCUGCCCUUGACUUUGGGAUAACUUCAGGAAACUGGGGCUCAUACCGGAUAGGAGCUCCUGCUGCAUGGUGGGGGUUGGUAAGUUUCGGCGGUUGGGGAUGGACUCGCGGCUUAUCAGCUUGUUGGUGGGGUAGGGGCUUACCAAGGCUUUGACGGGUAGCCGGCCUGAGAGGGUGACCGGCCACAUUGGGACUGAGAUACGGCCCAGACUCGUACGUGAGGCAGCAGUGGAGAGUAUUGCGCAAUGGGCGGAAGCCUGAUGCAGCAGCGCCGCGUGCGGGAUGACGGCCUUCGGGUUGUAAACCGCUUUCGCCUGUGACGAGGCGUGAGUGACGGUAAUGGAUAAGGAAGCACCGGCUAACUACGUG